This 709-nucleotide unclassified non-coding RNA is filed under the name Hevea brasiliensis (rubber tree). The record is from RNAcentral. Lineage: Eukaryota; Viridiplantae; Streptophyta; Magnoliopsida; Malpighiales; Euphorbiaceae.
GUCGUUAAAGAUUAGGCUUCAUUAAAAUAUUGAUAGUGGUUACCAAUAUCUCCCCCUCCCUGCCCAACCCCCAAACCAAAGCUCAUGAAAUAUGAAUUCAGGACUUAUAAUUUGCAAUUCUUGCAUUGCAAUCAUUUGAAUCAAUUAACUGUGAUUAUCUUGACUGAUAUGAUCAGUUGGUCACAUGCUCAUGACAGUGGGAAAGAGUGAGUGCAAAUGAAGUAAGUUGUAGUGCUUCGAUAAGGGGAAUAAAUUUACUGCUAAAUAGUUUGGAGUUACGCCUGGCCACUGGUCUGAGUCAGUUUCAGGCCCAAACAGGCGGUACAAGGCUUGGCUAGGGGAUGGACUAGAACUGGACUGGUUGACUAUGGUUCUAGCUGGUUUUGGUUUCCAACAGGAGGUGUUCUGAUUCAACUCUUGUUUUGAUUGUGGUUUUCGGCGAUUUCAAUUCCAAUGCAAAACGCUUUUGGUCCAUGUGAUACCUUCUAAAAUUCCACCUAUUAUUACUUUUUUAAAUCUAGUUUAAACUAGGCUGGAACUGCUGGUUUGACUGUCAGUUCCGUUCAGAGCUUGUGGAGUCUGGUUCUAGUUCAGGUCCUGCAACUGUUGACCCAGGCCUAUUUCGGGUUUGACCUAGGCUGGUCCGGUUCAGAACUGGCCCUUGACCAAGUCUAUUUGGAGCUAUAUCCUGUAAUCUCUAUUACAAAUU